UACGAAGGGGGCUAGCGUUGUUCGGAAUUACUGGGCGUAAAGCGCACGUAGGCGGAUAUUUAAGUCAGGGGUGAAAUCCCAGAGCUCAACUCUGGAACUGCCUUUGAUACUGGGUAUCUCGAGUAUGGAAGAGGUGAGUGGAAUUCCUAGUGUAGAGGUGAAAUUCGUAGAUAUUAGGAAGAACACCAGUGGCGAAGGCGGCUCACUGGUCCGGUACUGACGCUGAGGUGCGAAAGCGUGGGGAGCGAACAGG
This 253-nucleotide ribosomal RNA is filed under the name uncultured bacterium. Its description in RNAcentral is "partial 16S ribosomal RNA". It matches the Rfam family "Bacterial small subunit ribosomal RNA", at positions 524 to 776 of the family's 1533-position model. The record is from RNAcentral.